Molecule: ribosomal RNA, 301 nt
Filed under: uncultured bacterium
Lineage: Bacteria
Description: partial 16S ribosomal RNA
Rfam family: Bacterial small subunit ribosomal RNA
Source: RNAcentral
CAGUCGCCACGGGAAUACAGAGGGUGCGAGCGUUAAUCGGAUUUACUGGGCGUAAAGCGUGCGUAGGCGGCUAAUUGAGUCGGAUGUGAAAUCCCCGAGCUUAACUUGGGAAUUGCAUUCGAUACUGGUUAGCUAGAGUGUGGGAGAGGAUGGUAGAAUUCCAGGUGUAGCGGUGAAAUGCGUAGAGAUCUGGAGGAAUACCGAUGGCGAAGGCAGCCAUCUGGCCUAACACUGACGCUGAGGUACGAAAGCGUGGGGAGCAAACAGGAUUAGAUACCCCAGUAGUCCCUGUCUCUUAUAC